GUCACACUUCUUCUUCUUCUUCUUAAACUUCCAACAUGCCAUUUUCAGAGCUCCAACACAUGGUAUCAGAGCUAGGGCUUGCAUGGUGAAGAAGAAGAAGACAAUCCGUCAGGAAGAAGAAGGCAAUCCCCCCCCCCCGAUACCGCCUUUCAAGGUAACUUCUCAAUCGGCCUUGAGGUUAUUGUGAUUGUGGUAGGCACCAACCAUGAGAAAUAGUAUAAAAGUAGAUUUUGAGAAGUUUAAUAGUAAGGAUAGUUUCUCAAUAUGGAAGAUCAAG
RNAcentral lists this long non-coding RNA (277 nucleotides) under Elaeis guineensis (African oil palm). Its description in RNAcentral is "long non-coding RNA (EGUI_LNC014746)". Lineage: Eukaryota; Viridiplantae; Streptophyta; Magnoliopsida; Arecales; Arecaceae. The record is from RNAcentral.